CGUAAACAAAGGGAAGCGAGACGGUGACGUUAAGCAAAUCCCAGAAAUAACGUCCCAGUUCGGAUUGUAGUCUGCAACCCGACUACAUGAAGCUGGAAUCGCUAGUAAUCGCGAAUCAGAAUGUCGCGGUGAAUACGUUCCCGGGUCUUGUACACACCGCCCGUCACACCAUGGGAGUCGGAAAUGCCCGAAGUCAGUGACCCAACCGUAAGGAGGGAGCUGCCGAAGGUGGAGCCGGUAACUGGGGUGAAGUCGUAACAAGGUAUC
Molecule: ribosomal RNA, 267 nt
Filed under: uncultured bacterium
Lineage: Bacteria
Description: partial 16S ribosomal RNA
Rfam family: Bacterial small subunit ribosomal RNA
Source: RNAcentral